RNAcentral lists this long non-coding RNA (258 nucleotides) under Vicia faba (fava bean). The record is from RNAcentral. Lineage: Eukaryota; Viridiplantae; Streptophyta; Magnoliopsida; Fabales; Fabaceae.
AUGAGUUCAACAAGCAGAGCAUGGGUAGCAGCAGGCAGUGUUGCAGUCGUGGAAGCUUUGAAGGAUCAAGGUAUAUGCAGAUGGAAUCAUACUCUAAAGUCACUUCAAAAUCAUCUCAAAAAUAAUGUCAGAUCGUAUUCUCAAGCAAAUAAGUUUUCAUCCUCCACUUGCUGCGCUUCUUCUUCAGCUAUGGUUUCUACUAAAAGACAAAAAAAGAAGGCAAAGCAAUCAGAAAAAUCUUUGAAGACAGUCAUGUAA